UGUAUCUGAAGCCUGACGAGGAUGAGAACCUCCGGGGGCAAGAGGUUCGACCCGAGCGAAGCGAGAGAACGUUGCGUCAGCAACGGCCCGCAGGGCGAGCCACGCAGU
Molecule: small RNA, 108 nt
Filed under: Salmonella enterica
Lineage: Bacteria; Pseudomonadati; Pseudomonadota; Gammaproteobacteria; Enterobacterales; Enterobacteriaceae
Also listed under: 1 other name
Description: partial RtT sRNA
Rfam family: RtT RNA
About the family: This family represents a bacterial cis-regulatory element known as RtT RNA. The exact function of RtT is unknown although it is thought that it may be involved in changing the cellular response in relation to amino acid starvation.
Source: RNAcentral